This 512-nucleotide ribosomal RNA is filed under the name uncultured bacterium. Its description in RNAcentral is "bacterial SSU rRNA". It matches the Rfam family "Bacterial small subunit ribosomal RNA", at positions 28 to 507 of the family's 1533-position model. The record is from RNAcentral.
GACGAACGCUGGCGGCGUGCCUAACACAUGCAAGUCGAACGGUUCAAAGUUAAGAGUUUACUUUUAACCUUGGAUAGUGGCGGACUGGUGAGUAACGCGUGGGCAAUCUACCCAUAAAUCGGGGAUAACAGCGGGAAACCGUUGCUAAUACCCGAUAUCCUCCGUAACCCGCAUGGGCAGUGGAGGAAAGGUGGCUUAGCGAGAGCAGCUAUUGUUUAUGGAUGAGCCCGCGUCCCAUUAGCUAGUUGGUGGAGUAAGAGCCCACCAAGGCGACGAUGGGUAGCCGGCCUGAGAGGGUGACCGGCCACACUGGGACUGAGAUACGGCCCAGACUCCUACGGGAGGCAGCAGUGGGGGAUUUUGCGCAAUGGGCGAAAGCCUGACGCAGCGACGCCGCGUGAGCGAUGAAGGCCUUCGGGUUGUAAAGCUCUGUCAUAAGGGAAGAGAGGCGAGGGGAUUAACAAGCCCCUUGCAGGACAGUACCUUAAGAGGAAGCCCCGGCUAACUACGUG